UAACCUGGCGGCAGGCCUAACACAUGCAAGUCGAACGGUAACAGGAAGUGCUUGCACUUCGCUGACGAGUGGCGGACGGGUGAGUAAUGCUUGGGAACUUGCCUUUGUGAGGGGGAUAACAGUUGGAAACGACUGCUAAUACCGCAUAAUGUCUACGGACCAAACGGGGCUUCGGCUCCGGCGCAAAGAGAGGCCCAAGUGAGAUUAGCUAGUUGGUAAGGUAAAGGCUUACCAAGGCAACGAUCUCUAGCUGUUCUGAGAGGAAGAUCAGCCACACUGGAACUGAGACACGGUCCAGACUCCUACGGGAGGCAGCAGUGGGGAAUAUUGCACAAUGGGGGAAACCCUGAUGCAGCCAUGCCGCGUGUGUGAAGAAGGCCUUCGGGUUGUAAAGCACUUUCAGUUGUGAGGAAAAGUUAGUAGUUAAUACCUGCUAGCCGUGACGUUAACAACAGAAGAAGCACCGGCUAACUCCGUGCCAGCAGCCGCGGUAAUACGGAGGGUGCGAGCGUUAAUCGGAAUUACUGGGCGUAAAGCGCACGCAGGCGGUUUGUUAAGCUAGAUGUGAAAGCCCCGGGCUCAACCUGGGAUGGUCAUUUAGAACUGGCAGACUAGAGUCUUGGAGAGGGGAGUGGAAUUCCAGGUGUAGCGGUGAAAUGCGUAGAUAUCUGGAGGAACAUCAGUGGCGAAGGCGACUCCCUGGCCAAAGACUGACGCUCAUGUGCGAAGGUGUGGGUAGCGAACAGGAUUAGAUACCCUGGUAGUCCACACCGUAACGCUGUCUAUUAGCUGUUUGUGACUUUAAGUCGUGAGUAGCGAAGCUAACGCGAUUAAGUAGACCGCCUGGGAAGUACGGCCCGCAAGGUUAAAACUCAAAUGAAUUGACGG
Molecule: ribosomal RNA, 888 nt
Filed under: uncultured marine bacterium
Lineage: Bacteria
Description: bacterial SSU rRNA
Rfam family: Bacterial small subunit ribosomal RNA
Source: RNAcentral